RNAcentral lists this ribosomal RNA (163 nucleotides) under uncultured eukaryote. RNAcentral's name for it is "partial small subunit ribosomal RNA". The record is from RNAcentral.
GUACACACCGCCCRUCKCAUCAAUCGAUUGGAUAAUUCGGUGAAUGAUUCGGAUUGAGUUGUUAUUAGAAAUAAUUUCAAUUUGAGAAGUCUUGUAAACCCRAUUAUCUAGAGAAUGGUCAAGUCGUAACAUGGUAUCUGUAGGUGAACCUGCRGAAGGAUCA